AACUGUAUCUCCCUCCCGGUCAGACCUCUCAGUCCUCCCACAAGGGUGGGGCAUCUUUUCUCCGAUCCCUCGUGGGUUUUUCCUGGUUCCUGUGUUGCGUGCCCAUGGAAUGGUAGUUGGGAGUCCCAUUGUCCCUAUUCAAUUGAUGUCUCCCUAGGCCUCCUGGCAGAACUUUAGGCGUGUCCCUGUGUCCCUAGCACGCUCUGCACCUUGUGGUGCUUCUGUGGUCGCAUGAUUCUCUCACCUAUCCCAUCGAAUGUGGAAGAAUCAUGUGGGCUCGGGGUGUCUGUCCCUAAUCUGUCCAUCCAAAGUGUUUUGUCGCUCAAUAUGUCUGACAUCCUCGUGGUGUCAUGCCCUCCCUCGUCCCCAUGUGGGCUCAUCAGUAGACGGUUCGGCGUCAUAGGCAUCAUAGAGGAAUGCUACAUGGUUGAUCCUGCUAGUAGUCAUAUGCUUGUCUCAAAGAUU
RNAcentral lists this unclassified non-coding RNA (465 nucleotides) under Tetratheca similis. RNAcentral describes it as "partial contains external transcribed spacer and 18S ribosomal RNA". The record is from RNAcentral. Lineage: Eukaryota; Viridiplantae; Streptophyta; Magnoliopsida; Oxalidales; Elaeocarpaceae.